This 504-nucleotide ribosomal RNA is filed under the name uncultured bacterium. RNAcentral's name for it is "bacterial SSU rRNA". It matches the Rfam family "Bacterial small subunit ribosomal RNA", at positions 28 to 526 of the family's 1533-position model. The record is from RNAcentral.
AAUGAACGUUGGCGGCGUGGAUUAGGCAUGCAAGUCGAGCGAGAAUCGGUCUUCGGAUCGAGGACAGCGGCGAACGGGGUAGGAAUACCUCGGUGACGUACCCCCAGGUCGGGGAUAGCGGCGGGAAACUGCCGGUAAUACCCGAUGACCUUCCCAAGUUUUACGACAGGGGAAGCAAAGGUGUGAUUCCGUCGGGGGAGCGGCUGAGGUCGUAUUAGCUGGUUGGUGAGGUAAUGGCUCACCAAGGCAAUGAUGCGUAGGGGGUGUGAGAGCAUGGCCCCCACCACUGGCACUGAGACACUGGCCAGACACCUACGGGUGGCUGCAGUCGAGAAUCUUCGGCAAUGGGCGCAAGCCUGACCGAGCGACGCCGCGUGCGGGAUGAAGGUCUUCGGAUUGUAAACCGCUGUCGGAGGGGAUGAAGUGCAGGUGGGUACUCCCACCUGUUUGACAGAGCCUCGGAGGAAGCACGGGCUAAGUUCGUGCCAGCAGCCGCCGUAACAC